AUGUUUUAUCACUUAAACCGUGUGUCCAAAUCUCGAACCGCUUUCAUCGUUGGAUUCCUCGCGUUGAGAUCUUCAAAACUAGAUCCUAUGUUGAUAGGUUUUGACAAACUUUUUUUUUCACGAAAAACCGAACCGGGAGCACGGGUUUUUUCCCUUUCCGAAAAAGGUAUACCCGUGCCUCUCACGAAAUCACAACCGUGCCUCUCGCGGAAGCAAAACCGUGACACUCGCGGAAGGAAAAAAAAGAAAACACGUUUUUUUCGUCUCCAAGAAGGCACGGCCGUGACUCUCACGAAAGCACAACCGUCCCUCUUGCGGAAGAUAAACCGUGACUCUCUCGAAAGAAAAAAAACAGAAAACGCGUUUUUUUCGUUUCCGAGAGGCACGGCCGUGACUCGCGAAAAGCACAACCGUGUCUGUCGCGGAAGCAAAACCGUGACUCUCACGAAAAGAAAAAAAACAUAA
RNAcentral lists this ribosomal RNA (465 nucleotides) under Triticum aestivum (bread wheat). Its description in RNAcentral is "partial small subunit ribosomal RNA". Lineage: Eukaryota; Viridiplantae; Streptophyta; Magnoliopsida; Poales; Poaceae. The record is from RNAcentral.